This 484-nucleotide ribosomal RNA is filed under the name uncultured bacterium. RNAcentral's name for it is "partial 16S ribosomal RNA". It matches the Rfam family "Bacterial small subunit ribosomal RNA", at positions 30 to 507 of the family's 1533-position model. The record is from RNAcentral.
AUUGAACGCUGGCGGCAGGCCUAACACAUGCCAGUCGAGCGGAUGAAGGGAGCUUGCUCCUGGAUUCAGCGGCGGACGGGUGAGUAAUGCCUAGGAAUCUGCCUGGUAGUGGGGGAUAACGUCCGGAAACGGGCGCUAAUACCGCAUACGUCCUGAGGGAGAAAGUGGGGGAUCUUCGGACCUCACGCUAUCAGAUGAGCCUAGGUCGGAUUAGCUAGUUGGUGGGGUAAAGGCCUACCAAGGCGACGAUCCGUAACUGGUCUGAGAGGAUGAUCAGUCACACUGGAACUGAGACACGGUCCAGACUCCUACGGGAGGCAGCAGUGGGGAAUAUUGGACAAUGGGCGAAAGCCUGAUCCAGCCAUGCCGCGUGUGUGAAGAAGGUCAUCGGAUUGUAAAGCACUUUAAGUUGGGAGGAAGGGCAGUAAGUUAAUACCUUGCUGUUUUGACGUUACCAACAGAAUAAGCACCGGCUAACUUCGUG